Molecule: non-coding RNA, 1512 nt
Organism: Coturnix japonica (Japanese quail)
Lineage: Eukaryota; Metazoa; Chordata; Aves; Galliformes; Phasianidae
Source: RefSeq, a predicted model, not a curated record
UCGGUGUGAGGAGAUGAGAGCGGGAGGAACGACGGGGGAGUUGGAGAUCUGUGUCAGGGUCUGGGCUCACAGAACCGCUGAGAUACGGACAUACCCUGGAGAAGCCAACGCGGGGCCUCCGAACUAAUGAAGGGACUGGGGACACCCUCCUGUGAGAGGGGCUGAGGGAGCGCGGCCUGAAGGAGCCCGAGGGGUUCGUCACUGUGUAGAAGGGCUUGAAAGGAGAUGAGGGAACGUAGAGCCGCGCUGCUGGCUGCGCUGCACAGAGCCACGGCUGGAGGCAGCUCGUGUCAAUGAACACCUGAGGUUCCCUUGGCCAUGAGCAGCACUGCUGUGUUACACUGUGAUGGACAGUGAGGCCAUAGGCUGUGUGGGCUUCAGCAUGGAGAUCUCCAAAGCCAGCCACACGUGGAGCUGGGUACCAGCACCGUGUCCCAGAGCAGAGCACUGAGAGGCCUCUUCAAAUCUCAGCCAUUGUGUGAGGAGCAGAGCAGGACAAAGCUGUGACCACACUGUACCAAUCCCGGCUGAGGCUCUGGGAUCCCUGGGCGCUGCAGCUCCUUCAUUCUGACAUUAACAAACUGCCUGGAAGCCAGCGUAUCUGCUGUGCUGUCCAGCAGAUGGGCUGCAGCAGAGAAGGAAGGCAGAUCUUACUCCUGAAAGCAUUGAGGUAUGGAUCAAUAAGACGUAAAGCACAUCAAGAUAGGAGAUGACAGCACAGAACGAGGCUAAAAGUGGAGAAAGAGUCAGAAUCCUGCAAGACCUCAGCUUCCAGCUUCACCCCAGACCCAGGAACAAGUUUGAGACCGCUAAAGGACGUAAGACCCUGGAACACAAAUUCCUUUCUGAUAACGGAUCCUGACACCACCUCUCCAGCUGGAAGAGCUGGAAAGCUUCACGCCUCGUGUUGCAGGAGGCAACACCCGCCUGUGUGCUGCUGGAGGCUGGCUACAAGGCAAAGUAUCCUCCUGUAUUUAUUCCAAGAUAAAAACAGCAUUAUGCACAAAUCCCAGAUGGAUUUCUUUUCCUUUUUAUUUAGGAAGAAGGCAGGAUUAUUUGUGGGUUCCCCCCCAUCUGGUACAGAUUCACAGGCAGUAAGAAUGAGUUUUGUUUCCAAUACAUGUGUUGGUUCGAAAUCCCAGGAAGAAAAAACUCCAUCUCAAGAAGCCACACGUCAGUUCCCAUUCCUGGCAUCACCAGACACAGCACAAAAACACCCAAACAAAGAAGGAUCCAAGGCAUACAUUGUUUCACAGAAUUUACAUGUUAAAAGGACAAGUAGAAAUAUUACAAAAAUCAACAGAAUCACUUUUAAAAUAUUUGUAUUUGUUGAACCGUUAAAAACAGACACGGAAAGAGGUAGCAAAGCUAACAACUUCCUGCUGCUCUAAUUAGUGUUGCCUGCAUGCACUGAGAAAGUUACUGUGGAAUUGAAUCUUGAAAUCUUCUCUGGACAGGAUUGUAGACGAUUUGCAGUUUAUUUCUGAUAACGCUAUUUGACGUAGAGGCGAA